AGGACGAACGCUGGCGGCGCGCCUAACACAUGCAAGUCGAACGGAACUCUAUUCUGGAAGUUUCGGAUGGAAGGGACAGAGUUAGUGGCGGACGGGUGAGUAACACGUGAGCAACCUGCCUAUCAGAGGGGGAUAACGAUUGGAAACGAUCGCUAAUACCGCAUAACACAGCGAGAGGACAUCCUUUUGCUGUCAAAGAUUUAUCGCUGAUAGAUGGGCUCGCGGCCGAUUAGAUAGUUGGUGAGGUAAUGGCUCACCAAGUCGACGAUCGGUAGCCGGACUGAGAGGUCGAACGGCCACAUUGGGACUGAGACACGGCCCAGACUCCUACGGGAGGCAGCAGUGGGGGAUAUUGCACAAUGGGGGGAAACCCUGAUGCAGCGACGCCGCGUGUAGGAAGACGGUCCUAUGGAUUGUAAACUACUGUCUUCGGGGACGAAAAAAGACGGUACCCGAGGAGGAAGCCACGGCUAACUACGUGCCAGCCGCAGC
Molecule: ribosomal RNA, 492 nt
Filed under: uncultured bacterium
Lineage: Bacteria
Description: bacterial SSU rRNA
Rfam family: Bacterial small subunit ribosomal RNA
Source: RNAcentral